This 491-nucleotide ribosomal RNA is filed under the name Streptococcus minor. Its description in RNAcentral is "bacterial SSU rRNA". It matches the Rfam family "Bacterial small subunit ribosomal RNA", at positions 9 to 474 of the family's 1533-position model. The record is from RNAcentral. Lineage: Bacteria; Bacillati; Bacillota; Bacilli; Lactobacillales; Streptococcaceae.
GAGUUUGAUUAUGGCUCAGGACGAACGCUGGCGGCGUGCCUAAUACAUGCAAGUGGAACGCAUUGAUUUCACCGGAGCUUGCUCCACCGAAAUUAGUGAGUCGCGAACGGGUGAGUAACGCGUAGGUAACCUACCUCUUAGCGGGGGAUAACUAUUGGAAACGAUAGCUAAUACCGCAUAACAAUAGGAUACACAUGUACCCUAUUUAAAAGGAGCAACUGCUUCACUAAGAGAUGGACCUGCGUUGUAUUAGCUAGUUGGUAGGGUAACGGCCUACCAAGGCAUCGAUACAUAGCCGACCUGAGAGGGUGAUCGGCCACACUGGGACUGAGACACGGCCCAGACUCCUACGGGAGGCAGCAGUAGGGAAUCUUCGGCAAUGGGGGGAACCCUGACCGAGCAACGCCGCGUGAGUGAAGAAGGUUUUCGGAUCGUAAAGCUCUGUUGUAAGAGAAGAACGUGUGAGAGAGUGGAAAGUUCUCACAGUGACG